GACGAACGCUGGCGGCGUGCUUAACACAUGCAAGUCGAACGGAAAGGCCCUGCUUUUGUGGGGUGCUCGAGUGGCGAACGGGUGAGUAACACGUGAGUAACCUGCCCUUGACUUUGGGAUAACUUCAGGAAACUGGGGCUAAUACCGGAUAGGAGCUCCUGCUGCAUGGUGGGGGUUGGAAAGUUUCGGCGGUUGGGGAUGGACUGGCGGCUUAUCAGCUUGUUGGUGGGGUAGUGGCUUACCAAGGCUUUGACGGGUAGCCGGCAUGAGAGGGUGAACGGCCACAAGGGGACUGCGGUAGGGCCCAGACUGCAACGGUAGGCAGUAGUGGGGAACAUUGCAGAAUGGGCGGAAGCGUGAGGCAGCAAUGUCGCGUGCGGGAUGACGUCCUUUGGGUUGUAAACCGCUUUCGCCUGUGACGAAGCGUGAGUGACGGUAACGGGUAAAGAAGCACCGGCUAACUACGUG
This 468-nucleotide ribosomal RNA is filed under the name uncultured bacterium. RNAcentral's name for it is "partial 16S ribosomal RNA". It matches the Rfam family "Bacterial small subunit ribosomal RNA", at positions 28 to 507 of the family's 1533-position model. The record is from RNAcentral.